GUAACUCAUUAAAGCAUGGUAAAACCUUCACAUGUGUAAGCCCAAAGUGCCUUGAUGCUCUGAGCACCUUAGUCCAGGUGUUCACAUUUAAAGGACAACGACUGAACCAAUGAAGGCACAGACUUAACCUGAUUAGUUACAUGCUCUGAUGCUGCUCUGGCUACAUGGGAAUGAAAGCAUUUAUAUGUAGGUUCACAGGAACAGUUGAUAAAUACAAUUUUAUGGUAGUAUGUCUUACAGGCCAAAAUAAAAUCAUGUACUAGCUUAGUGUUACAGCCUUCUCACAGCAGCACACACCAUGUACAGGAAACAAGGGCAGGUCUAUGUGUAAACAGAGGAAGUGGACAAUUCAUAACAAAUGCUGUGACCCCGCACAGCACGGAGGGGCGCAGGCCCGCAGAGGUCACCCCGUGGCUGGAGCUGCAGAAGCCCUGUGUGUGCUUGGGUCCUGGUGACUGCGCGCCUCCUGCUUGUUCGAUGUGCUCUCGGACUUGGGAUUUUGUGGUGCCUGACCUCAUGCCUUAUUUAUCGCAAGUCCUUCAAACACUUUCCUGGGAACACAGUUAUUAAGCAAGAGGCCUCUCCAUGGGGUUUAUUCUUAAACCAUCUGAGAGUUUCAUGAAUAUUAACGUUCCUCCAUUAUUUUCCUCUGUUCUUCUCUAAUAAGGUGGUAACAUGAUCCCCACUGAACAUAUAGAACAGAAGCUCGGAAUGCUUCAGAUUAAAAAACAAGCCAACACAACAGGUGAAUUUUAGCACCAUGGCGUGAGGAGCCCCAGCACUGUGGGAUGAGCACAGGUGUGUGGGGUUGUGCUGGGCGGGACACGAGCACGUUUCCUGAUGCAGUCUGGGAGGGCAGGAGCAGUGUUAGAAGCUUGCAGUGAUGAAAGGGAAUUGAGGUUCCUGAAGGAGUGUGAAAGUGUCAUUUGCUGCAAAAGGUUGGAAUUGUGGAUACCCUGCAUCCUGAACCCGCUGCAGACUGUCUGGAGUACCUGCAGGAGAGCAAAGGCAGAAGAACUGCAUUCGUACUUUGUGGGAGUGAAUUACAGCGAGGACUUCUACCUGCCGCAGCUAUACCCAGGUUAAUAUACCAGUGCACACCAACUGCUUAGGAAUACGUGACAACUCUGUUCUGGGUGCUGGACUGAGAACACCAAACUCGUUUCAUGAGUGAAAGCUUUCAGAAGAACAGUUCUCGGUAAAGGAGAGAAUUUCAAACACCUUCAUAAAUGCAGCGUGGGAUGUUUGUAUCAGCCAACUUUCUAAAUUUUCCUUUUCCUGCCAGAAAUUUUCUUUUCUAAAAAUAUUUGACUUUGCUGUCUAAUCUAGAGAUGGAUAAUAUAGUGCUGAUUUUAAAAAUCUGACUGGUGCAGGAUAUAAGAAUGACUUCUAAAACAGUGCCUGAGUCGCUUUGGAACACAUUUUAUAACCAAAUGCACUGUUCAGGGCAUGGUGUGGUUUCUGCACAACCCCCUGCUUCCCCCCAGUUACCAUUACUGCCUUCCUAAUCUGCUAGAGCAUUUAGUGCCCUCCUCUUAUCCUAAGAAAAAUACAAUUGCUGGCUCUGAUAUUCAUUAAGUGAUAAUCCAGAUUAAUUCAGACUUUGAUGGAGAAUCAGGUCCUAUUUCAGCCACAAAGAAAUUCACAUUGCCCCACAGAAAAUGCAUGCGUGCACACACAUGCACAUAUACACGCUCAGGCAGUAUGUAGAAUGCCUUAAAGAAACUGUAGCUAACCACCUUAUUAGUAUUCCUCCCUCCUCUGUGUUUCACUUGCAGCAACAGAGGGCUGAGCAAAAUGCAGUAGAACAGGGACAGAGACAGAGCUGGCAAUCAUCUCAGUGCAGGCUGCUGAAUGUAGGGGGUGGGGGGGAUGCAGCAAAGCAAGAUUAAUAACCUUGCCAUAAUCCUGUGCACCCUGGAAGGAGAUACCUCUGGUGACUGAGCUGUUCUUGUCUUGAUUAAUUGGACUGAGCGAAUGAGUGGCUGGCAAUCCACCUGGUUUGGAGGCGACCCCCUGGUUUUGCUGCUCUCUGAAUCCUCUACCCAUCUGGGAAGGUAACAGUGAGACGUACCAUCUGCAGCACACACAGCAGCUAUUGGAGGCUACUACUGACAGUUUGCACUACAGUUUUUUGGUGAGCAAGAAGCCAGGUAUAUCGUGCAGUAGGAUAUUUCUGUGCUCAAGCUACUGAAUUUUUGCAAUCUGGUCCUUCAGCAACCCCCUACGCGCCCUCUUCCAAUUGCCUUUGAGUUCUGGGCUUACUUUUGGCAUAGUCUCCUGGACGCAUUUUGCUGGGGAUGGAAGAGCAGUAAAUGGAACCUCUGAAAACUAAUUGUUUUGCUUCUGUGUGACUCGAGAGAGAGAAAAGCAAGAAGAAUCAAGUGCAGCUAGAGGAAUUUACAUUUCUUUUGGAGAAGUUUGCAGAGGGACCAUAAAAAAAAGGUAAAUCCAGGGGGUUGCCUACCCCUUCUGUCUCCUAGCCUGAUUGUGCUUGUUUGUUUGGGCUUGAAAAAAAGAUGAAACACAAGUAGCAGGUGGCAUGGAGUGUGGUGUUUGUAAAUUCUGUGCUUAUGAUUUGUAUCCUCUUUUUGUUUUCUUAUCCUUUUUCUUUUCCCUGCUGUUUGCACAGCAAAAAUGCUUGCAGAAUAAUGAUAGUAGUGCUGGAAAACAUUACUUGAAUAGCACUAGAAAGCUCCUUUCAUUUCAAAGGUAUUAGAAUUUACUGGGAGGUUUUUUGUUAUCAUCAAACCAGCUUAAAAUAUUUGGAAAGGAUCUAGAAUAGGCAAGAAAUAAAGCUCAUGUAAUGUGGUCA
Long non-coding RNA from Anser brachyrhynchus (Pink-footed goose), 2815 nucleotides. The record is from Ensembl. NCBI's taxonomy places the organism in Eukaryota, Metazoa, Chordata, Aves, Anseriformes, Anatidae.